CAUGGCAGAAGGAGAGUGCCCCAAAAAGCGAAAAUAUAAGACACAUUUUACGCCAGACUACAAGAAAGUGUACCCCUGUCUAAUAAGAGUGAAACAUAAUGACAGUCUUGCACGCUGUACAGUUUGUAACAGUGACUUCAGCAUUGCCCAUGGCGGGUUAAAUGAUUGUAAAAGACAUGUUGAGGUUGGGAGAGACAUAUCCAGCUGCAGAUCCGCAGCACCACUAGUUUCAGGACCCCAGUUUCAGAACCCCAGCGCCAGAACCUGAAGUGAGGGGCGGAGUUAUUGACAAUGAGACAAGCAUGGUGGAGAGCAUGAGACAUUUCGAAUGAAUGAAGACCACAAGGAAAAGGCCCGCAACAAUCUCCUGGAACAGUCAGAAGCUUCCAGAGAGCCCUUUCUAUUUCAUUUUGUGUUCAGGGAUGACAUGGAGUUAUUUUAGCAAGAAUGUAAGGACAAAAUGGGCCUGAGAGUGAAUUCCUCAUUUGAUACAUUUUAAGUUUAAUUUAUACAGGAUUGUCAUGAUAAAAUGGGCCUAGGGGUGAAU
Xyrauchen texanus (razorback sucker) is the source of this 547-nucleotide long non-coding RNA. RefSeq lists it as uncharacterized. The record is from RefSeq and is a predicted model, not a curated record. NCBI's taxonomy places the organism in Eukaryota, Metazoa, Chordata, Actinopteri, Cypriniformes, Catostomidae. The transcript has 3 exons.